GUUUCCAUGGCAACGGCGGCCAUUUUGGAAAUUCCAAACUCAAAAGUCAAGUCUACAUAAGCUAGGCAACAUUUGUUAUAAGUUUCAUUAAAUUUGAAGCAUUUUGAGUUUUUCAUAUUUUUGCUGUUUCCAUGGUAACGGCGGCCAUUUUGAAAAUUCCAAGGUUUAACUUCUGCUGCAAAUUGUUCUCUCCAUAAUUAUAUACCAUCAUAUACCAUUUAAUGUCUCUAGAAUAAAUUUAUCAUUGAUGUUCUGGAAUGUUCCAUGAAAAUUGACCCCCCCCUAAAAUUAUGCCAAGGAGACCCCCUACUGAAAUAAAAUAAGUUCCAUAUUGGAGCAGACAUGUGUCUCUAAAUAUUCAUAAUAGUAAUCAUAAUUCCAUCUACUCUACAUACAGAAAAAUAUUUAGGAAAUGUAAAACAAAAAUGACCCCACCCAUCUUUGAGCCCCCUAAUUAUGCCACGAUGACACCCUGGUAUCAUGGACAUUGGGUUCUGCAACCCCCAUGAUGCAGACCCGUACCCAGAAAAAAUAUGAAGUUUCCAUCCUCAACUGCUUCCCCAAAAAUGGUAGGACAGUUUAAGGGGUCAGAAAGAGAAGAAUAAGAACUAGAUUUGCAAUUGCAAGCAAUAGCGGAUGGCACCCUUUCCCC
RNAcentral lists this long non-coding RNA (652 nucleotides) under Mytilus galloprovincialis (Mediterranean mussel). Lineage: Eukaryota; Metazoa; Mollusca; Bivalvia; Mytilida; Mytilidae. The record is from RNAcentral.